AAAGCUCCAAGGUGUGGUUUUCUUCCAUUUUUCUCAUCCUUCUUAACUUUCUCGACAAUUCCAAGUAAGUCUCUUCACUUUUCGCCUAGUGGUGUGCACCUGUCGUCUCGUCCCUUCUGCCGUCGAUGCGCUCUUGGCCCUAACUGGCCGAGUCUUGGUUCCAGCGCUGUUACUUUGAAGAAAUUAGAGUGCUCAAAGCAAGCCUACGCUCUGUAUACAUUAGCAUGGGAUAACAUCAUAGAAUUUCAGUCCUAUUCUGUUGGCCUUCGGGAUCGGAGUAAUGAUUAACAGGGACAGUCAGGGGCAUUCGUAUUUCAUAGUUAGAGGUGAAAUUCUUGGAUUUAUGAAAGAUGAACUGCAAAAGCAUUUGUUAAGGAUGUUUUCAUUAAUCAAGAAGGAAAGUUGGGGGCUCGAAGAUGAUUAGAUACCAUCCUAGUCUCAACCAUAAAUGAUGCAGAAUGAACCCGCGAACAUGUU
RNAcentral lists this non-coding RNA (477 nucleotides) under Ricinus communis (castor bean). Its description in RNAcentral is "Eukaryotic small subunit ribosomal RNA". It matches the Rfam family "Eukaryotic small subunit ribosomal RNA", at positions 636 to 1064 of the family's 1831-position model. Lineage: Eukaryota; Viridiplantae; Streptophyta; Magnoliopsida; Malpighiales; Euphorbiaceae. The record is from Rfam by way of RNAcentral.